Drosophila yakuba is the source of this 1550-nucleotide long non-coding RNA. RefSeq lists it as uncharacterized. The transcript has 2 exons. Lineage: Eukaryota; Metazoa; Arthropoda; Insecta; Diptera; Drosophilidae. The record is from RefSeq and is a predicted model, not a curated record.
GAGGAUGCGAUUGUUGGCUAACUUCUCGGACUAAAGGAUUCCGCACCCUCGAAUCUGAUGCUACUUAAUUAAGUUGAACGGACCAAAGGGUGAGUGCUAGCAUAUGUACGAAUAGAAUGGGGUGCACCGCCACCCACUGUCCUUCAAGCUCCACCCACCACCCACUUGCAGCCCUCCUACACUUUGCCACAUAUGUGUGACAGUUAAUGAACUUUCGUCACUCUUACGCUUUUGUUUUCGCUAAUCAAAGACACAUGCGGCAUGUGAGCGGCAUACGCAAUAAGGCGAUGGAGUGCAGUCAAUUAAUUGAUGGAUGAUGUGCAUAAUGAAAAGCGUAGGGGGAAGUGUCAAAGCAUCGUUUGCCCCUCUUUGGGCAUUUAACAACAUUAGAGCUGCAACAAAACUUAAACAUCAGAGUACUUUUUUCACAUUCUUUAAUCAAGCCUAUACAAAACUUCACUGAAAUACACGUAUGUUUCCUUUGUACCUAUCAAAAUUUUUUGCCCCCUAUUCAAUGGCAGAAGCUCAUCAAGGAACUCCGCCCAUCGAAUGCCGGUCCAUUCAGUCGAAGGUUGCACAUCCGGGUGUAUUGAUUGCUUUAACAAAUCUGAGGCUCGUGUAAUUUCAUUACAAAACCCCCGAAUGGGCUUCAGCAUGGGAUUACCACAAAAGCAUUUUUCGAGUCGAGUCGAAGUCUAUAUAUUCCCCUAAGUGAGGAGAGCUGGGCCAAUGUCUGGUCUGGUCUGGUCGGGUUUUCCAGAUGCUUUUUCCUUGCCGCCCUCGUUGUCUUCAUUCUUUAUGCAUUACAUGCGAACUUCGUGGGUGAGUGACUGACACCGGUCUUGGUUUCCUAGGCAGUCAACGGUCCAUCAAUCAGUCAAUCAGCCAGUCAGCCAGUCCGUCGGUGAGUCAGUCACUCCUUUGGCAGACGUCAUAGCCUGUCAGAAAUGUUUGGUAUGUAUGUUGCUGCCUUGCUGUUUUCUGUCUUGGAGCCCGUUUCAAAAAGUGAAAGCGAAGGGUUGUCUGUCUGGAGGUCUGGGUGUCCCAAGGGCCGUGGAUUCUGAGUGCCUCCAUGACUCCAACGAUCCAGCAACAAUUCAUUAAACGCAUAAAGCAAUAAAAUGUUCUCUCGAUAGGCAAAACAAAGACCAUCCCAAAUGAAACCCCAUAGAAAAAGGCUUCGAACUGUCUGACAGCUUGACGUCGCCUGCUAAUGGCAGAGAAAAAACCCAAAUAAAGGAAGGCAUCUUCUACCCGAAUUGAUACACCCGAGUCCUUGCAAGUUGGUCCCAGUGAUUGGGAACACCUAAAACUGCUAGAAGGCUAUAAUGAAAGCCAAACACCCACUAUAGUUCCUAUGGCCGCGCUUGAAAUUUGCUUUGAUUACGCAAAUGUCACAGCUGAGAAGGCAAAAUUUGUUUAAAUUGCCAUCGUGAUUGGGAUAGGCACCUGCUCUCAUCUAUGUUUGCAGAAACUUGGGAAUAAAUGCAUUAAUAUACGCCCGCUUUAAAAAAAUAAAAUUUCAUUGAUAAGCUCGUUUAAAGAUGAAA